CAAUGAACAGGAACCUUGUGGCUGGUGGCUGGCCCGGGUGCGGAUGAUGAAGGGAGAUUUCUAUGUCAUUGAAUAUGCUGCCUGUGAUGCCACCUACAAUGAAAUUGUUACCCUGGAGCGACUUCGGCCAGUUAAUCCCAAUCCCCUUGCAACCAAAGGCAGCUUCUUCAAGGUUACCAUGGCUGUGCCCGAGGAUCUGAGAGAAGCCUGCUCCAAUGAAAACGUCCAUAAAGAGUUCAAGAAAGCCCUGGGAGCCAACUGCAUCUUUCUCAACAUCACAAACAGUGAGCUCUUCAUUCUGGUGAGUUUAUUCUGCCUGAAUUUCACAUAAGCCUUUUGAACAUUUUUUCUUUUUCCCCUUUUAACUCCUUUGCAGAAAGAGAAGGGCUUAAAUGUGCUUCUAUUUAUUUGUCAAGAGGACUUUAUGGCUCCUGACUCCUACAGGCCCAGGUAGCCCUAUCUUUUUUUUUUCUUUUU
This 477-nucleotide small RNA is filed under the name Pongo abelii (Sumatran orangutan). Its description in RNAcentral is "retained intron". Lineage: Eukaryota; Metazoa; Chordata; Mammalia; Primates; Hominidae. The record is from RNAcentral.